This 392-nucleotide long non-coding RNA is filed under the name Homo sapiens (human). RNAcentral's name for it is "non-protein coding lnc-C3orf58-6:1". The record is from RNAcentral. Lineage: Eukaryota; Metazoa; Chordata; Mammalia; Primates; Hominidae.
AUCACUCCAGUUGCUUCAGGAUGAUGGAUAAAAUAGUAAGACCAGUGAAUUUCAUGAGCAUGAACCCACUGCUGCAUUUCUUUAGCCAUAAAGUGAGUCCCUUGGUCAGAGGCAAUGUUAUGUGGAAUACCAUGAUGGUGGAUAAGGCGUUCUGUGAGUCCAUAGAUAGCAGUCUUGGCAGAAUAAUUGUGUGCAGGAUAGGCAAACCUAUAUCCAGAGUAAGUGUCUAUUCCAGUGAGGAAAAACCUCUGCUCUUUCCAUGAUGGAAGAGGUCCAAUACAAUCAACCUGCCACCAGGUGGCUGGCUGAUUACCCCGAAGAAUGGUGCCAUAUGGAGGGCUUAGUGUUGGUCUCUGCUGCUGGCAAGUUGGUCACUCAGCAAUGGCCAUAGC